AUGUCACUUGAAAUAUUUUCUCUAUGUAUGCAGAUGUCUGAUAGUGACAACGAUGAUUCUGAUGAUGAGAGUAUGAAGUUUUGCAAUCUUGUUCUGGGUGCUGCUACACUUGCACAAGUGUAUUGUGAUACAUAUCUUGAUAAGAAUCCACCGAGGACAUCAAUUCUAAGUGGUAUGGGAUGGUUGCAAGAGACUUUGAGGACUCCAGGUGAAUGCCUUUCACAACUUCGCAUGAGCACAGAAGUAUUCAUGGACCUUCAUGACUUGUUGGUGCGAAGGUACGGGUUAGAAUCAUCCAUGCAUGUGAGCACCUAUGAAAGUCUUGCAAUGUUCCUGUUCAUCUGUGGUGGCAAUGAGUCCAACCGAAAAGUUCAAAAUCGUUUCAAGCACUCGGGCGAAACCAUUAGUAGGAAAUUUGAUGAGGUUCUGAAUUGUUUGAUGAAAAUGGCAAAAGAUUUCAUUAGACCUAAAAACCCCAACUUUCCAACUAUUCAUAAGAGGAUAAGAGAUGAUAGAUGGGAGUAUCCACACUUCAAAGAUUGCGUUGGUGCACUUGAUGGCACGCAUAUUUUAGUGUCUCUGUCUCCUGAGGAUAGUGUCAGAUAUAUUGGGAAAUCGGGGAUACCGACUCAAAAUGUUCUUGCAAUUUGUGACUUUGACAUGCUAUUCACUUAUGUGUCCGUGGGGCAACCAGGAGCUAUGCAUGAUACUAGUGUGCUAUACAAUGCAAUAAGUGUUGAUGAAAGUUUCUUCCCACACCCUCCAAAAGGCAAAUACUAUGUUGUUGAUGCGGGAUAUCCCAAUCAUCUGGGAUACCUGGCUCCUUACAAGGGUGAGAGGUAUCAUAUGCCAGAAUGGCAUAGAGGUAUGGAGCCCAAGACUCCAAUAGAAAAAUUCAAUCGCGUUCACUCAUCUAUCCGCAAUGUUAUUGAGCGAUCAUUUGGGGUGCUAAAAAUGAAGUGGCAGAUUCUCUAUAAGAUGCGACCGUACCUGAUGUUCAAACAAAAAUGA
This 1011-nucleotide ribosomal RNA is filed under the name Triticum aestivum (bread wheat). Its description in RNAcentral is "partial small subunit ribosomal RNA". The record is from RNAcentral. Lineage: Eukaryota; Viridiplantae; Streptophyta; Magnoliopsida; Poales; Poaceae.